Molecule: RNase P RNA, 366 nt
Filed under: Bacteroidales bacterium
Lineage: Bacteria; Pseudomonadati; Bacteroidota; Bacteroidia; Bacteroidales
Also listed under: 1 other name
Description: RNase P RNA component class A
Rfam family: Bacterial RNase P class A
About the family: Ribonuclease P (RNase P) is a ubiquitous endoribonuclease, found in archaea, bacteria and eukarya as well as chloroplasts and mitochondria. Its best characterised activity is the generation of mature 5'-ends of tRNAs by cleaving the 5'-leader elements of precursor-tRNAs. Cellular RNase Ps are ribonucleoproteins.
Source: RNAcentral
GUACGGCAUUGUUCUAUCGCUGCGAGACUUUGUUUCGGAGAGGAAAGUCCGGGCAACACAGAGCAUCAUACAACCUAACGGGUUGGCGGAACUUGCGUUCUGACAGACAGUGCCACAGAAAACAACCGCCUGUUUUUUGCAGGUAAGGGUGAAAAUGUGAGGUAAGAGCUCACGCUGGGGCUUAGUGAUAGGUCUCAGGGGUAAACCUUAUGAGUUGAAAGACCAAGUAUAUCGGAGCAUGGGGCUGCUCGUCCUUUCCGAGGGGUAGGUCGUUAGAGGCUUGUCGCGAGACAGGCAGUAGAUUAAUGAUAGAACGGUUUGCAAGUGCAGACCCGACAGAACCCGGCUUACAGAUGUCGUACCGUU